UCUCCGUUAUCCGGAGCAGUCCUCUUAGAGUUCCCCCUUGCGGGUGGCAACUAAGAAUAAGGGUUGCGCUCGUUGCGGGACUUAACCCAACACCUCACGGCACGAGCUGACGACAGCCAUGCAGCAUCUGUACUAGCUCCCCGAAGGGUCCUUCAUCUUUCGAGUCCGUACCACUAGCACGUCAAGCCUAGGUAAGGUUCUUCGCGUUGCCUCGAAUUAAGCAACAUGCUCCGCCGCUUGUGCGGGCCCCCGCCUAUUCCUUUGAGUUUUAACCUUGCGGCCGUAGUCCCCAGGCGGUGAACUUAAUGCGUUAGCUGCGGCACUGAUCGGGUCAAUCCGACCAACACCUAGUUCACAACGUUUAGGGCGUGGACUAC
Molecule: unclassified non-coding RNA, 377 nt
Filed under: uncultured Chloroflexota bacterium
Lineage: Bacteria; Bacillati; Chloroflexota
Description: uncultured Chloroflexi bacterium contains 16S-23S intergenic spacer region
Source: RNAcentral